Sesamum indicum (sesame) is the source of this 275-nucleotide non-coding RNA. The record is from RefSeq and is a predicted model, not a curated record. NCBI's taxonomy places the organism in Eukaryota, Viridiplantae, Streptophyta, Magnoliopsida, Lamiales, Pedaliaceae.
CUUGGGAACCUGUCACGACUAGCACAGAUAUAUUUUGAUAGCUCUGGAGUUAGUGGACAAAUACCUCCAACAUUUGCUAAUCUUCGGAGCUUGGAGAGAGUGUGGGGGUCAGACACUGAACUCACAGGCCAGAUACCUGACUUCAUUGGAAAUUGGUCAAACCUCAUUCAACUGUGAGAGUGUAUCCAUUUUUCUUCCCCAUUUCUAUAUGUUUUUGAUUAAUGCUUUAUCUAUCAUUUUAUAGCUUGGGAAUCACUUUCUCAUUAUAUGGCUGC